This 467-nucleotide ribosomal RNA is filed under the name uncultured bacterium. RNAcentral describes it as "bacterial SSU rRNA". It matches the Rfam family "Bacterial small subunit ribosomal RNA", at positions 329 to 794 of the family's 1533-position model. The record is from RNAcentral.
GCCCAGACUCCUACGGGAGGCAGCAGUGAGGAAUAUUGGUCAAUGGGCUUACGCCUGAACCAGCCAAGUCGCGUGAGGGAUGACGGCCCUACGGGUUGUAAACCUCUUUUGCCGGGGAGCAAAGAGCGGGACGCGUCCCGCCUCGAGAGUACCCGGAGAAAAAGCAUCGGCUAACUCCGUGCCAGCAGCCGCGGUAAUACGGAGGAUGCGAGCGUUAUCCGGAUUUAUUGGGUUUAAAGGGUGCGCAGGCGGCGAGUUAAGUCAGCGGUAAAUUUGGGGGGCUCAACCCCGGCGAGCCGUUGAAACUGGCUUGCUAGAGUGGGCGAGAAGUAUGCGGAAUGCGUGGUGUAGCGGUGAAAUGCAUAGAUAUCACGCAGAACUCCGAUUGCGAAGGCAGCAUACCGGCGCCCAACUGACGCUCAGGCACGAAAGCGUGGGUAUCGAACAGGAUUAGAUACCCCCGUAAA